This 255-nucleotide ribosomal RNA is filed under the name uncultured bacterium. Its description in RNAcentral is "partial 16S ribosomal RNA". It matches the Rfam family "Bacterial small subunit ribosomal RNA", at positions 524 to 777 of the family's 1533-position model. The record is from RNAcentral.
GACAGAGGGUGCAAACGUUGUUCGGAUUUACUGGGCGUAAAGCGUGUGUAGGCGGCUUUGUAUGUCGGAUGUGAAAGCCCACGGCUCAACCGUGGAAGUGCAUCCGAAACUGCAUAGCUUGAGUCCCGGAGAGGAAGGUGGAAUGCUUGGUGUAGAGGUGAAAUUCGUAGAUAUCAAGCAGAACACCUGCGGCGAAGGCGGCCUUCUGGACGGUGACUGACGCUGAGACAACGAAAGCGUGGGGAGCAAACAGGG